RNAcentral lists this unclassified non-coding RNA (238 nucleotides) under uncultured fungus. RNAcentral describes it as "partial contains 5.8S ribosomal RNA, internal transcribed spacer 2, and large subunit ribosomal RNA". Lineage: Eukaryota; Fungi. The record is from RNAcentral.
AACGCACAUUGCGCCCUUUGGCAUUCCGAAGGGCAUGCCCGUUCGAGCGUCAUUUCACCACUCAAGCCUGGCUUGGUAUUGGGCGACGGAGUUCCUCCGCGCCUCUAAUCGAUCGGCUGGACGGUUCGAAUCUCAGCGUUGUGGUUUCAUCAAAUCGCUGGCGAGGACGACCGCGCGCGCCGUUAAAACUUCACACAAGGUUGACCUCGGAUCGGGUAGGGAUACCCGCUGAACUUAA